CGGCAACAGCUCAAAUUUGAAAUCUGGCCUCUCGGGGUCCGAGUUGUAAUUUGUAGAGGAUGCUUUUGGUGCGGUGCCUUCCGAGUUCCCUGGAACGGGACGCCUUAGAGGGUGAGAGCCCCGUACGGUUGGACGCCUAGCCUCUGUAAAGCUCCUUC
Molecule: ribosomal RNA, 158 nt
Filed under: Sordariomycetes sp.
Lineage: Eukaryota; Fungi; Ascomycota; Sordariomycetes
Description: partial large subunit ribosomal RNA
Rfam family: Eukaryotic large subunit ribosomal RNA
Source: RNAcentral